CCCUUAGAUGUUCUGGGCCGCACGCGCGCUACACUGAUGCAUUCAACGAGUCUAAAACCUGCUCUGAUAGGGGGGGGUAAUCUUUUGAAUGUGCAUCGUGAUUGGGAUAGAUGAUUGCAAUUUUUCAUCUUCAACGAGGAAUGCCUAGUAAACGCAAGUCAUCAGCUUGCAUUGAUUACGUCCCUGCCCUUUGUACACACCGCCCGUCGCUCCUACCGAUUGAAUGAUCCGAUGAAUAUCAUGGAUUGAGGAUUAUAGCAGGUUCGCCUGUCUUGAUCUUCGAGAAGUGAAGUAAAUCUUAUCAUUUAGAGGAAGGAGAAGUCGUAACA
This 329-nucleotide ribosomal RNA is filed under the name uncultured eukaryote. RNAcentral describes it as "partial 18S ribosomal RNA". It matches the Rfam family "Eukaryotic small subunit ribosomal RNA", at positions 1470 to 1796 of the family's 1831-position model. The record is from RNAcentral.